CGAGCCGGCCGGGCGGUCGCGUCAGUACCCAGUGGUGCUGCCGAGGAACGUCCGGGCUUCACAGGGCAGGGUGGUUGUUAACGGCAACCCGGGGUGACCCGCGGGAAAGUGCCACAGAAAACAGACCGCCGGGCGCGGCUUCGCGACCGGUAAGGGUGAAACGGUGGUGUAAGAGACCACCAGCGCCCCGGGUGACCGGGGCGGCUCGGUAAACCCCACCCGGAGCAAGGUCAAGAGGGGCGACCUCGGUCGCCCUGCGUGAGCGUUCGAGGGCUGCCCGCCCGAGCUCACGGGUAGACCGCUAGAGCCUGUCGGCAACGGCAGGCCGAGAUGGAUGGCCGCCGGCCAGGGCAGUGCCGCGAGGCGCCCUGGCAACAGGACCCGGCGUACAGGCCGACUCGUCCG
RNAcentral lists this RNase P RNA (405 nucleotides) under Cryptosporangium aurantiacum. RNAcentral describes it as "Bacterial RNase P class A". It matches the Rfam family "Bacterial RNase P class A". Rfam says of the family: Ribonuclease P (RNase P) is a ubiquitous endoribonuclease, found in archaea, bacteria and eukarya as well as chloroplasts and mitochondria. Its best characterised activity is the generation of mature 5'-ends of tRNAs by cleaving the 5'-leader elements of precursor-tRNAs. Cellular RNase Ps are ribonucleoproteins. Lineage: Bacteria; Bacillati; Actinomycetota; Actinomycetes; Cryptosporangiales; Cryptosporangiaceae. The record is from Rfam by way of RNAcentral.